GAUGAACGCUGGCGGCGUGCCUAAUACAUGCAAGUCGAGCGAACAGAUGAGAAGCUUGCUUCCCUGAUGUUAGCGGCGGACGGGUGAGUAACACGUGGGUAACCUACCUAUAAGACUGGGAUAACUCCGGGAAACCGGGGCUAAUACCGGAUAAUAUUUUGAACCGCAUGGUUCAAUAGUGAAAGACGGUUUCGGCUGUCUCUUAUAGAUGGACCCGCGCCGUAUUAGCUAGUUGGUAAGGUAACGGCUUACCAAGGCGACGAUACGUAGCCGACCUGAGAGGGUGAUCGGCCACACUGGAACUGAGACACGGUCCAGACUCCUACGGGAGGCAGCAGUAGGGAAUCUUCCGCAAUGGGCGAAAGCCUGACGGAGCAACGCCGCGUGAGUGAUGAAGGUCUUCGGAUCGUAAAACUCUGUUGUUAGGGAAGAACAAAUUUGUUAGUAACUGAACAAGUCUUGACGGUACCUAACCAGAAAGCCACGGCUAACUACGUGCCAGCCGCCGCGGUAA
RNAcentral lists this ribosomal RNA (514 nucleotides) under uncultured bacterium. Its description in RNAcentral is "partial 16S ribosomal RNA". It matches the Rfam family "Bacterial small subunit ribosomal RNA", at positions 28 to 523 of the family's 1533-position model. The record is from RNAcentral.